AAUCAACGCUGGCGGCGCGCUUAACACAUGCAAGUCGCACGAGAAAGGGAGCAAUCCUGAGUAAAGUGGCGUACGGGUGAGUAACACGUGGGAAUCUACCUCUUGGCGGGGAAUAACCCUGGGAAACCGGGGCUAAUACCGCAUAAGCUCGUGAGAGGAAAGCAGCAAUGCACCGAGAGAGGAGCCCGCGGCCGAUUAGCUAGUUGGUGGGGUAAUGGCUCACCAAGGCGAAGAUCGGUAGCCGGCCUGAGAGGGCACACGGCCACACUGGCACUGAAACACGGGCCAGACUCCGACGGGAGGCAGCAGUGGGGAAUCUUGCACAAUGGGGGAAACCCUGAUGCAGCGACGCCGCGUGAGCGAUGAAGCCCUUCGGGGUGUAAAGCUCUUUCGACAGGAACGAUAAUGACGGUACCUGGAGAAGAAGCUGCGGCUAACUACGUG
RNAcentral lists this ribosomal RNA (444 nucleotides) under uncultured bacterium. RNAcentral describes it as "partial 16S ribosomal RNA". It matches the Rfam family "Bacterial small subunit ribosomal RNA", at positions 29 to 507 of the family's 1533-position model. The record is from RNAcentral.